AGCCCAGAGCCUGAAUCAGUGUGUGUGUUAGUGGAAGCGUCUGGAAAGGCGCGCGAUACAGGGUGACAGCCCCGUACACAAAAAUGCACAUGCUGUGAGCUCGAUGAGUAGGGCGGGACACGUGGUAUCCUGUCUGAAUAUGGGGGGACCAUCCUCCAAGGCUAAAUACUCCUGACUGACCGAUAGUGAACCAGUACCGUGAGGGAAAGGCGAAAAGAACCCCGGCGAGGGGAGUGAAAAAGAACCUGAAACCGUGUACGUACAAGCAGUGGGAGCCUCUUAAUGGGGUGACUGCGUACCUUUUGUAUAAUGGGUCAGCGACUUAUAUUCUGUAGCAAGGUUAACCGAAUAGGGGAGCCGAAGGGAAACCGAGUCUUAACUGGGCGUUAAGUUGCAGGGUAUAGACCCGAAACCCGGUGAUCUAGCCAUGGGCAGGUUGAAGGUUGGGUAACACUAACUGGAGGACCGAACCGACUAAUGUUGAAAAAUUAGCGGAUGACUUGUGGCUGGGGGUGAAAGGCCAAUCAAACCGGGAGAUAGCUGGUUCUCCCCGAAAGCUAUUUAGGUAGCGCCUCGUGAAUUCAUCUCCGGGGGUAGAGCACUGUUUCGGCAAGG
Molecule: ribosomal RNA, 615 nt
Filed under: Escherichia coli
Lineage: Bacteria; Pseudomonadati; Pseudomonadota; Gammaproteobacteria; Enterobacterales; Enterobacteriaceae
Description: partial 23S ribosomal RNA
Rfam family: Bacterial large subunit ribosomal RNA
Source: RNAcentral